This is a long non-coding RNA of Gambusia affinis (western mosquitofish), 515 nucleotides long. RefSeq lists it as uncharacterized. The transcript has 2 exons. The record is from RefSeq and is a predicted model, not a curated record. NCBI's taxonomy places the organism in Eukaryota, Metazoa, Chordata, Actinopteri, Cyprinodontiformes, Poeciliidae.
GCCACGAAGUAAACAUCUGAUUUUUACUUUCGAAAAAGUUACAUUUUAACUUCUCUGCAAAAUUCACUAACUGCACUAUUCUUGCUGUCAGACAGGUUUCUGCUCAGAUGACAUCUCCUUCACGACGACGUGCAAAAAUGUGGAACGGCUCAGAAAUGAGGCAGCUGCUGCCCUACAUGCCAGGCGCUCUCGGUGACAUCAUCACCCCUGCCGCUCCCCUGUGGCUGAAAAACAACAAAACAACAACAACAAAACUUAAGGCAUAGCCAUGCAAAUGACUCCUGUCCCCUCCCUGAUGCGACCCCUUCUGUUCCCCCCCUAUGCUUCUGUGUCUGCCUUUCCAUCUCCCCGUGAGCUGCCGUGACCUAUUUACCUGGAGUGUCUCGACAUCGAGGUUUUACCUGUGCAGACGGCAAGGCACAGCUGUCUGCACAUCAGAGUUUAACAUAAGAGGCCUAUAAGCUCAGCUGUCUGUGACGAAAACAACAAAAAUAAAUAUAUAACUUUUAACUUAA